UGAGGGCAUUAGUGACUUGCUAGAAGUGAAGGCUGGUGAGUGAAGGUAAUAUUUAGGAGGGAGGAGAGAGAGAGGGAGUAAAGAGAGGAGAGAGAGAGGGAAGAGGAGAGAGAGGGAAAGAGAGAGAGAGAGGGAGGAAGCAGUGCUUGAGAUGUGAAGAGGAGCUAAAAUAUAAUCACCAAACAUCCGCACACAACACUACACUUUGGUUCUGGUUCCCUCUCUAAAGGCAUGGUGGCUUCAUGUCCUGUCAUCCUGGCUGCCUGUUCAGUUUGGUCCCCAGAUGUGGGAUGUGCUUUCCAUCACGUUUGUUUUUUAACUAUGGUAACAACGCCAUUCCAGUCCAGCUGCAGCUCUAGAAGAUGACGCCAUUUUGUGAGGUUCUCAUUUUCGUGUCAGCACCACAGGGGUGCAAAGUUAUAUCUAAAAUGGCCUCUAACGCGUCAGCAUAUCAGCUUUCGGUUUUCGUAGGAAAACAGCUUCAGUUGUAAUUCUGUCCUAGUUACCUGUACUACUUUUAUCAUUAUUGGUCUUAUGAACAUGUUUUAUUCUGUAAUCUGUAACACACCAUAGUCUGAGAAAUUUAAAUAAACUUGAUUAAUGGAUACUGUGUAUCCGGAGGUAGAAGUUGAACAACAUAAUGUAGUUUAGGUUAGAGUUUAGGUUUCUGUACCUUUCUAAAGGACAAAAGAAAAAAAUAAAAUUAAAAAAAUAAUGUCAUUGUUAAAACGGUAUAAUUGAUGAUUACGAUUAUUAGUAUUAUUAAUAUUAUUAUUAUUAUUAUUAUUAGCAGCCAGCAAAGCCUUGGUGUAUAUAGUGUUUGAUAUUAAAGUAUUAAUUUGAUUCUUAUGUCUUUUAUAAAACAACAACAACCGCAAAAGUCUUUGGAUGUGAGGGUACACAGGUACUCUGUUGCCCCAAGAGGACAAGGGGAUGUGUGUACCUGCGCACACACACACAUGCUUAACUUGUCAACCGCAGGAUGGACAUUAGCCAAUGGGGUCUCACCUGCUACGUGUCUCCAACCAAUCACGGCCAUCUCCGACACCUCACCUCAGAACUCAUUGUGGAGGAAGGAACCUGGACUAAAAAUGACAUCACAUCCUGUGAUAUUUCCUUAUUUGAAGACAGCGUUCAAAAGCAUGCGGGCCAAGAAAGAGUUUACCCCAGGAAUGGACGGAUUGGAUUUUUUAUUCGUCUUGGAAGGAUAUUGCCUGUUUCAUAAAUGCAUGGACUUGAUUAACAAAACAUUUAUAACGAAAAAAAAAAAAAAAAAAGAAAGUUUGUUCUUUUCUCUUUCCAACUCUGUUGAAUGUUUUUUUCCCAGCCGUUUUCAUAUAGCGUGUUUUGCAUCUCAUUAUGCCGAGUUUGUUAGCCAACGACAGAGAGAACAAGUGUGUACAGAACAAGAAAGGCUUUUGUUGUGGAGUUAUGGAGAGAGAGAGAUAGAGAGAGAGAGAGAAGAGAGAUAGAGAGAGAGAAGAGAGAGAAGAGAGAGAAGAGAGAGAGAGAGAGAGAGAGAGAAGAGAGAGAGGCGUAGCAGACAGAACUGUAAACAUGCUUGUUGUUUCUGUUUUCCUGUUUUAAAUGAACCUCCUCUUCUACUGUGUUCCUGCCUCCUAGCGUGUUCCUCUGUUCAUGGAGAGCUCGCUGGAUACUCCUGUGUGUGUGUGUGUGUGUUUUUGCACCAGUGUGCUGUGUCUGGUUGUCUGCUCCUAAGCAGAGUGCUGUUUCCAUGCCUUAGCCUCCUUAGCCCCUCACCCCAACCCUCACCCUCCCUCCCUCCCUCCCUGUCUCUUCAAAGGCAACUUUCUUUUUGCUUCCCUUAAAUCUCCAAAUCCCCUGCCCCCCCACACCCCGCCUUACCCCGCCCCCACAAGCGUCUGGGUAGAAGUUUCUGAUCUAGGCUGCCCCCUUCCUCCCUCCCCUUCUAUCCUUGAAUUAUGUCUGGAAAUCCAAAAAACAAAAUCCCAGAUCAAUAAAAGUGAUCAAUAUGAGUUAGGCUAGCAUCAGCGCUGUCCUCACACACUCUCCUCUGGCCUGUGUCCUUACUUAGUCCUGCUCAUUAAUGUGUGUGUGUGUGUGCAUCCUGUUUCAUCUACCACUGUUUUUGACUCCCCCACGCCUCUCUCUCCUCCUUCUCUCCCUCCUUCUCUCCAUCCCUCCUUUCUCCUUUCCAAUGAUGGUGCCCCCUUUUCCAGUUUAGAACAUUUUGAAAGAAAAAAUUGACAAAAAACAUUGAAGUAAAAAAACAAAACAAUCAACAGGUCUGUAAAUACACAUGUCUGAGCAUCAUCCAUGAAACAAUAUUAAUAAAAUGGAAAUUCAUUA
Osmerus eperlanus (European smelt) is the source of this 2331-nucleotide long non-coding RNA. RefSeq lists it as uncharacterized. Lineage: Eukaryota; Metazoa; Chordata; Actinopteri; Osmeriformes; Osmeridae. The record is from RefSeq and is a predicted model, not a curated record. The transcript is spliced from 2 exons.